GAUGAACGCUAGCGGCAGGCCUAACACAUGCAAGUCGAACGGUAACAUGAUCAGCUUGCUGAUUGAUGACGAGUGGCGCACGGGUGCGUAACGCGUAUGCAAUCUACCUCUAACUGGAAGAUAGCCCGGAGAAAUCCGGAUUAAUACUCCAUAAUAUCCAUUUUUCGCAUGUUAAGUGGAUUAAAGCUUUUGCGGUUAGAGAUGGGCAUGCGUGACAUUAGGCUAGUUGGUGAGGUAAUAGCUUACCAAGGCAACGAUGUCUAGGGGGCCUGAGAGGGUUAUCCCCCACACUGGAACUGAGACACGGUCCAGACUCCUACGGGGGGCAGCAGUGAGGAAUAUUGGUCAAUGGACGCAAGUCUGAACCAGCCAUGCCGCGUGCAGGAAGACGGCCCUACGGGUUGUAAACUGCUUUUGUAAGGGAAUAAACCCCCGGACGUGUCCGGGCUGAAGGUACUUUACGAAUAAGCAUCGGCUAACUCCGUGCCAGCAGCCG
Molecule: ribosomal RNA, 496 nt
Filed under: uncultured bacterium
Lineage: Bacteria
Description: bacterial SSU rRNA
Rfam family: Bacterial small subunit ribosomal RNA
Source: RNAcentral